Long non-coding RNA from Rhododendron vialii, 883 nucleotides. RefSeq lists it as uncharacterized. The transcript is spliced from 3 exons. The record is from RefSeq and is a predicted model, not a curated record. Lineage: Eukaryota; Viridiplantae; Streptophyta; Magnoliopsida; Ericales; Ericaceae.
UAACAAAAAGAGCAACUCUAGCCUUCACCGUCUCCACGAUCUGAAACCUAAACAGCAAUAGAUCUUCCUUUGGUCAAGAUUCACCCAUUUCUUCUCUUGCAACAACAGCAUAUUGGUCCCCUUCCUCUGCUGACCUUCUUACCAUCCUGGUACUGUAAUAUCGGAUCUAAUCAGCUCCAGUUAAUGGCAGAUUCAGUUUUACGACUCAUAAAAUUGAUAGGGACUUUUACGAUUCACACUAAAUAGAGGUUGCUAUAAUUGGUGGCAUCUGCUUACAAUUUUCUAUUAUUUACUGAUUUUUCCUACAGAUUAGAGGAAGCCGUAAGCAAUCCGUUGUGGUCCUUUGAAAAAUGCUUCACAUGUUCAUCCGAAUUAUCUGUUUGUGUGCUAUUCUUCUUCUUCUUCUUCAUUGAUUUAUGGUUCUCUGUAUGUGUGUAGGGUAGUUUUGGCACCGUUAACGAGACUGAGAUCAUACAAUUGUGUGGCACAACCACAUGCCAUUUUGUAUUACUCCCAGAGAGCAGCAAAAGGUGGCUUUUUGAUCGCAGAAGCCUCUUUAAUUUCGGAUACAGCUACAGGAGGCCCAAACAUGCCUGGGAUUUGGACGAAAGAAUAUGUGGAGGCAUGGAAGCCAGUUGUGGAUGUUGUUCAUGAGAAAGGAGGCAUUUUCUUUUGCCAGCUUUUCCAUGCUGUCAGAGUCUCUAACUAUGAUUAUCAACCUAAUGGUCAACCUCCAAUCUCAUGUACCGACAAGGCGAUAAUCAGCAAAGUCCACAUUGGUGGCUCUGGAGGAGCAGAAUUCUCACCUCCGCAUCAGUUAUCAGUUGAAGAAAUAUCACAAGUUAUCAAUGACUUCAGUAUUGCAGCAAAGAAAGCUAUUGAA